Molecule: ribosomal RNA, 253 nt
Filed under: uncultured bacterium
Lineage: Bacteria
Description: partial 16S ribosomal RNA
Rfam family: Bacterial small subunit ribosomal RNA
Source: RNAcentral
UACGAAGGGUGCAAGCGUUAAUCGGAAUUACUGGGCGUAAAGCGUGCGUAGGUGGUUUCUUAAGUCUGCUGUGAAAGCCCUGGGCUCAACCUGGGAAUGGCGGUGGAUACUGAGGAGCUAGAGUGCGGUAGAGGAGGGUGGAAUUCCCGGUGUAGCGGUGAAAUGCGUAGAGAUCGGGAGGAACAUCAGUGGCGAAGGCAGCUCGCUGGGACGGUACUGACGCUGAGACGCGAAAGCGUGGGGAGCAAACAGG